Plectropomus leopardus (leopard coralgrouper) is the source of this 1691-nucleotide non-coding RNA. The record is from RefSeq and is a predicted model, not a curated record. NCBI's taxonomy places the organism in Eukaryota, Metazoa, Chordata, Actinopteri, Perciformes, Serranidae.
UAUAAUGUGUCAUGUAGUCCCAGUUGAGCAUCCAGGCGGAGCAGGUUAAAACACGAUCUUUGUAACCAGACCUUUGUUCCCCUUGCCAGUCUCAGUACCGAGCUUUUGAAUCUUGUGUAGAUUAUUAUUAAGUUACAUUUUGCCGGUUAUAGUGACAUUAAUUUAUUUAUAUUUUUACAGCCUAAGGCAAAGAAGAAAAUGUCCCUAAAAGUCCUUAAAGAUGACUCGAUGACAGAGGAGACCAAAAAUGAUCUGGAUGGUAAAUUUUUCUGUGUUAACUUUCAAGGAACUGUAAUACUUAAAUAAUUAUCUUGUCCAAAUGUGUUUAAACAUUUAAAGUCAUCUAUUCAAAUGUUAUAUGUAUACAUUUUGUUGUACCUAUGCCAUUCUGUAGGUCCUGAAGAUAAAGGAGAUAAAGGCUCUGCUCCAAGUUGCAGCAGCAUAAGCAGCAUUGGAUCAGGAUCAAUUUCCAAAGUGGAGUUCCUAGAAGCCAGGAUCCAAUGGCAAGAAAAAAUAAUAAAGGAUCUUGAGCAAGAGCGCAAUUUCUUGCGUGAGCAAAUCAUGGGAAAGAAGAGAUCGUGUGAGUGAUUUGGGGGCAACUUGUAUCUGCAAAAUAUAAUGUAAUUGUAAUGAACGGUGUGAUAUAUUUUCAUAACAAUCUGAUCUUUGUCUCAUCUAUCCUCUAUUUGAUCAAAGCUCAACCUAAAGUAUUUACUUUGGAGGACGACAACGAGGAUGAUGAUGGCAACAUGGAUGAAGAUGACGUCAUUCCCCAAUCUUCUCCAGACAUCAGUGAGUCCUCGGACAGUGAUGUUGUCAUCCAAAGAAGGAAGAAACGUCGGACACAGCCACCUGCAUCUGCAACUGUGGCUGUGCCUGGAAAAGCUCAUGUAAGAGGUAAGAAUGGCAUAACUUGAACCACCUGCCCUGUGAGCACCAAGUGGUCAUGAAAAAUAAGUAUUAAUAAAAGUGUUGGAAGAGCUGUUAUAAAUAUGUCCUGAAGUAAUUAUGAGGCAAAAAUACAGAUCUUCAGUUCUAGUUUCUGAAUAUACUAGGAAUCUGAUGAUAAAUAAAAAUUAAAUGUCUAAAGUCAAAAAUAUGGCUUUCAUCCAGAAUAAAGCUCCGUUUUAUUUUGCAGCAUUCACACUAAUUAUUAUCCAACAUCAAAUGUAUUGCUAGAAAGAUUUGUCUCUCAGAAUUAAACAUAAUUCAGAACCAUAAGACUUACCAACUAAACAGAUCUUACAGAGUAUCAUUUUUGUAUUGGAUUAUGAACCACAUAUUGUGCGUGAAAUCAUAUCAGGAGAUGAGCAGAUUCUUCAGUUCCUAGAAUAUGCUUCAUACUUUUAUCAAAAGAGAAGUGACCAGUUUGAGCAAUUUCAGCUGACCUUAAGCCGUGGUUUGUGCUCAUUUCUCGUGAUCUUUGUUUUUGUUUUAUGUAUUUUUCAGUGAAAGGGCCAGCUGAGGUUAUCAGCAGAUAUAAAAAAGUCUUGAAAACCUUCUUUGUUCAGUUAAAAUUCUGUUGUAUUAGAAAAGUGAAAUACAGUAUUUGUGCACAGGGAAAUAAAUCACUGAUGCAGUAAUUAUAGAGCUUUAAAGUUUAGGCUGUGGAAGUGCAAUGUUUGUACAGUUCAGUACAUUUGUUCUAACCUUUGACAAGUCAUGUUGAGCUGUGCAGGUUUUAUAUUUUU